UUGUGUAAAGUAUUGUAUUGCAAGAAACAACAUAUGAACAUUAUUCAGUCAAUAUGAAAAAUAUUGAUAAUAUUUAGAAGAAUUCCAAAAAUAAAAAAAUGUCCUUAUAAAAUUCCCCUGGGUGAUAAUUGAUACGUUUAAAUAAUGCAACAAAAGAAAGUACAUUUUCCUUCUAUUCUACACACUGUGCCAUGAGAAAAAUGUUUUAAAGCUAUUUUCCAGUCAUCCCCCCCAUUCCCACACACACAAUGAAACAUGUAACAGAUCCAGUGAUAGCACCAGUCUCAGGUUUAGCCUGACCUCUAGUGGUUAUGAGUGGUAGUACACCAGUCUCAGGUUUAGCCUGACCUCUAGUGGUUAUGAGUGGUAGUACACCAGUCUCAUGGUUAUAGCCUGACCUCUAGUGGUUAUGAGUGGCAGUACACCAGUCUCAGGUUCAUAGCCUGACCUCUAGUGGUUAUGAGUGGUAUGGCCUAGUUUCUUUCCUGCCAAUGCUUCUAUGGAGAAUCUUGAGUUGUUCAAGCUGAUGACUAUUCUGUAGGGACUUGGUGAGAGUCAAGAGGCAUUGUUCAAGAGGUUCUGAUAGACUCAACCACAACAUAUUUAAUCAAAAUCACAUUUUUUUAUUCAUCACAAUAAUUACAAACAGUAGAAUGAAACAAAAAUUAAUGAAAUGAGUCGAUACGAUACAGCAGCAACAUUGAUUAAUAGUGGAGUUUAUCUGGUACAGCAGGAAGACAAUUUGUCAGUGGAAGAACAAUGGAGUGGCUGUUGAAUUGAAUUGAAUCUACCUGUAGCUGACUACAAGGAAAGAAGAACCCUGACCUCACAGAUACAUGUGUCUCUGUGGGAGGGAAGGGGGGUCCCUCUUAGCUCCACAGCAACCAGUCCCUCUUAGUUCCACAACAACCAGUCCCUCUUAGUUCCACAACAACCAGUCCCUCUUAGUUCCACAACAACCAGUCCCUCUUAGUUCCACAACAACCAGUCCCUCUUAGUUCCACAACAACCAGUCCCUCUUAGUUCCACAGCAACCAGUCCCUCUUAGUUCCACAACAACCAGUCCCUCUUAGUUCCACAACAACCAGUCCCUCUUAGUUCCACAACAACCAGUCCCUCUUAGUUCCACAGCAACCAGUCCCUCUUAGUUCCACAACAACCAGUCCCUCUUAGUUCCACAACAACCAGUCCCUCUUAGUUCCACAACAACCAGUCCCUCUUAACUCCACAACAACCAGUCCCUAUUAGUUCCACAACAACCAGUCCCUCUUAGUUCCACAACAACCAGUCCCUCUUAGUUCCACAACAACCAGUCCCUCUUAGUUCCACAACAACCAGUCCCUCUUAGUUCCACAACAACCAGUCCCUCUUCACUCCACAACAACCAGUCCCUCUUAGUUCCACAACAACCAGUCCCUCUUAGUUCCACAACAACCAGUCCCUCUUAGUUCCACAAUAACCAGUCCCUCUUAGUUCCACAACAACCAGUCCCUCUUAGUUCCACAACAACCAGUCCCUCUUAGUUCCACAACAACCAGUCCCUCUUAGUUCCACAACAACCAGUCCCUCUUAGUUCCACAACAACCAGUCCCUCUUAGUUCCACAACAACCAGUCCCUCUUAGUUCCACAACAACAAGUCCCUCUUAGUUCCACAACAACCAGUCCCUCUUAGUUCCACAACAACCAGUCCCUCUUAGUUCCACAACAACCAGUCCCUCUUAGUUCCACAACAACCAGUCCCUCUUAGUUCCACAACAACCAGUCCCUCUUAGUUCCACAACAACCAGUCCCACUUAGUUCCACAACAACCAGUCCCUCUUAGUUCCACAACAACCAGUCCCUCUUAGUUCCACAACAACCAGUCCCUCUUCACUCCACAACAACCAGUCCCUCUUAGUUCCACAGCAACCAGUCCCUCUUAGUUCCACAACAACCAGUCCCUCUUAGUUUCACAGCAACCAGUCCCUGUUAGCUAAGACAGUACGUUCCCAAUAAAAACAUAAUUCCACCUUGACAUUAUGGGGUAGAUCAGUGACAAAACAAUCUUCCUUUCAAUCCAUUUCAAAUUCAGGCUGUAAACACAACAAACAUUAGGAUAAAGUCAACGGGUGUGAAGGCUCAAAGUAAACAAAACAUUAUGAACACCUGCUCUUUCCAUGACAGACUGACCAGGUGAAUCCAGGUGAAAGCUGUCAUCCCUUAUUGAUGUCACCUGUUAAAUCCACUUCAAUCAGUGUAGAUGAAUGGGAGGAGACGGGAUAAAGGAAGGAUUUUUAAGCCUUGAGACAUGGAUUGUGUCUGUGUGUCAUUCAGAGGGUGAAUGGGCAAGACAAAAUAUUUAAGUGCCUUUGAACGGGGUAUGGUAGUAGGAGGUGCCUUUGAACAGGGUAUGGUAGUAGGUGCCUUUGAACAGGGUGUGGUAGUAGGUGCCUUUGAACAGGGUAUGGUAGUAGGUGCCUUUGAAUGGGGGUAUGGUAGUAGGUGCCUUUGAACAGGGUAUGGUAGUAGGUGCCUUUGAAUGGGGGUAUGGUAGUAGGUGCCUUUGAACAGGGUGUGGUAGUAGGUGCCUUUGAAUGGGGGUAUGGUAGUAGGUGCCUUUGAACAGGGUGUGGUAGUAGGUGCCAGGCACACUGGUUGUGUCAAGAACUGCAACGCUGCUGAGUUUUUCACACUCAACAGUUUCCCGUGUGUAUCAAGAAUUGUCAACCACCUAGAGAAGUUCCAGCCAACUUGACGCAAUUGUGGAAAGCAUUGGAGUCAACAUGGGCCAGCAUCCCUGUGGAACGCUUUCAACACCUUGUAGAGGGGGGUGGAGCAACUCAAUAUUAGGAAGCUGUUCUUAAUGUUUUGUUCACUCAAUGUAGAUUGUACAGUAUAGUACAUUCCCUGAACAAAAGCAGGAUCUAGAUUAUACAGCUCUAUCUGAACAGAUGCUGGCAAACCUAAAGAGUCAUUCCAUUUGAUUCUUGAUGACAGUCCAUGAUGCUGCUAAACCUAAAGAGUCAUUCCAUUUGAUUCUUGAUGACAGUCCAUGAUGCUGCUAAACCUAAAGAGUCAUUCCAUUUGAUUCUUGAUGACAGUCCAUGAUGCUGCUAAACCUAAAGAGUCACUCCAUUUGAUUCUCGAUGACAGUCCCUGAUGCUGCUAAACCUAAAGAGUCACUCCAUUUGAUUCUUGAUGACAGUCCCUGAUGCUGCUAAACCUAAAGAGUCACUCCAUUU
Long non-coding RNA from Oncorhynchus tshawytscha (Chinook salmon), 3222 nucleotides. The record is from Ensembl. Lineage: Eukaryota; Metazoa; Chordata; Actinopteri; Salmoniformes; Salmonidae.